AUGAUUGGAAGGCAAUAGAAGCUGUCUAUUUGGGUGACAUCAUCACUGGAGAGCAGGCUGCCCUGGCAGAAAAGACGAAGGAUAUACCAGUCCCAGUCUGACUUACCUCCAGAAGUGAUAGAAAAGUAGAGGGACAUUCAGCCCCAGCGUGAGCCACUCUUGCGCACACAGGAACAUAAUGCAGAAGAGGCUAUGGAUGGAGUAUUCUGGCAGCACCAGCUGAAGAGGGAGCAGAGACACGGCCCUGAGUUAGAGGAGGAAAACGCCACUCCUGCUUCUAUGGCAGCUGACUUCUGCCUGGACACUGCCUCUCACAGACGGUUGACACAAAGGCCCUCCCUGCAGCAACGUAGAGCCACUGCCCCAACACAGAUCCAUUUCUGAUACGCAUCAAGAGCCUACUAUGAGGUGUCAAACACUGUGGCAGGCACUGGAGGUGCCAGGAUGAGUUCAAUGAGCCUGGUGACAAUGUUCCAGGCACCCCCAGGCUGAUGGGAGAGACCGACAGCUGAACACUGGACCAUGCCGCAGCCAGCACUCACACACUGACUGAAGCUCUAGCGCUGGCUGGUCCCUUACAGGUGAGUACAGUUGGUCACAAAGGGUGUGGACAAAGAAGAAUCCAUGGAAAUUCAAACUCAACUCAACUCUCCAGGCUUUGAGCACCCAAUGCCCUGGAUUAAAUAUGGCAGGAGGCCCAGCAAAGACCUUACAAUAGAUCGGGAGAGAUAAACCGAAAACCUAAGUGACUAUAUAAUCCAAGGCUGAAUAUAGGGAGAAGCAAAAUAGAAGGAUAAGCAUAAUAGGGUCAAAGGAGGAGGGAGGCAGAUCAGCCAACACUAGCCCUUGCUGGGA
Molecule: long non-coding RNA, 855 nt
Filed under: Homo sapiens (human)
Lineage: Eukaryota; Metazoa; Chordata; Mammalia; Primates; Hominidae
Description: HSALNT0298621
Source: RNAcentral